This 527-nucleotide ribosomal RNA is filed under the name bacterium enrichment culture clone Cont183_3130. RNAcentral describes it as "bacterial SSU rRNA". It matches the Rfam family "Bacterial small subunit ribosomal RNA", at positions 8 to 525 of the family's 1533-position model. The record is from RNAcentral.
AGAGUUUGAUCMUGGCUCAGGAUGAACGCUGGCGGCGUGCUUAACACAUGCAAGUCGAACGAUUAAAAGCCCCUUCGGGGGGUGUAUAGAGUGGCGAACGGGUGAGUAACACGUGGGCAAUCUGCCCCUCACYUCGGGAUAACUCAAGGAAACUUGAGCUAAUACCGAAUACUCCGAACUGAUCGCAUGGUCGGUUCGGGAAAGCUCCGACGGUGAGGGAUGAGCCCGCGGCCCAUUAGCUUGUUGGUGAGGUAACGGCCACCAAGGCAACGAUGGGUAGCCGCGCUGAGAGGCGGAUCGGCCACACUGGGACUGAGACACGGCCCAGACUCCUACGGGAGGCAGCAGUGGGGAAUUUUGCGCAAUGGGGGAAACCCUGACGCAGCAACGCCGCGUGAGUGAUGAAGGCUUUCGGGUCGUAAAGCUCUGUCAGAGGGGAAGAAAUGUAUGGAUGCUAAUACCAUCUUUACUUGACGGUACCCUCAAAGGAAGCACCGGCUAACUCCGUGUCAGCAGCCGCGGUAAUA